AUGGAUGCUACUGUUGUGCCGUCCUAUCCGGUGACGACUGUCGCUCCGGCGGCGGGCGGCGAACAGCUAGCGGGCAACUCGCCCUUCCACGAAGUGCUAAUCAUCACGGCCGGUUAUGAGGGGGGAUGGACUAUGUUUGAUAUCCACACGUUCUCGACUGACAAACUGAGCUGGAGUACAACGCGCUCCCUUCAAACUAUGUGGGGCAAUACCCUCGGAUCAUUCUGUCAAACCGAUGCCGUCGUCUGCCACGGCAUCGCGUACUGGCUAUUUCGUGACGAGAGGCGACGGUGUUACUGUCUUGUUAAAAUGACUAUCCAGAAGGGCUAUCUCAUGUUCGGGUGGCCCCCGGUUCUGAUGAUGCUUGACCGAAAUCACCGUCCGUGCCUUAGCCUGGCAAGCGAUGGCACACUCUCCCUGCUACAGAUGCAAGAGAGAGGUUCCAAUCUAGAGAUAUGGGGAGCAAAGAGCCAAGAGAGUCCGUAUGGUGUCUUGGAGUGGCUCCACCCUAAGACGAUCGAGCUGAUACAACCACAUUGGAAGAAGAAGACCCAAGGAAAAGACACGCUUUACGUACUAGGAGAGAAGUGUGGCAAAUUGCUUGUCAUGAACGGGCGCGGGCACGUGUACACCGCCGACCUCGAGACCGGAGCAAUGAAGGAGGUAGCGGAUGGGCCUCACGUACGCCCCAACAGCCCUCUGGAUGCCGUGCUCUUGGAGAUGGACUGGCCGGCGAUCUUUGUUUCACGUCUUGGUAACGACAGGUAUAGCUAG
RNAcentral lists this ribosomal RNA (774 nucleotides) under Triticum aestivum (bread wheat). RNAcentral describes it as "partial small subunit ribosomal RNA". Lineage: Eukaryota; Viridiplantae; Streptophyta; Magnoliopsida; Poales; Poaceae. The record is from RNAcentral.